GGAGCAUCAGACGAGCCUGGUGUCGUCCGAGGACGGCACCCGGGAGCAGGAGAACAUGGAUGACGCCAACAGCGAGCAGCAGUUCAGAGUCUUCAGGGACUUCGACUUCCUGGACGUGGAACUGGAGGACGGGGAGGAACUUCAGGUAAGACACUGUUACUCUUACUUGAUCCUGGCGCUCAGGGAGGUGCACUGUAUCAUUGCUGUAUCAUUGUAUCUCGUAUCUAUAACAACCAGAGCGCUUACCUCCCCUCCAGCACGUCUGCCUACCUGUGUGUCGACUUCUACCUAAGUAUGUGAUAGAAGAGGGGUUUUGGAGGGGAGGGGUUUGUUUGUUGUUUUUGAUUUGGUUUGGUUUUUGCCCUCCCCCCACCCCUUGGCUGCUCUAGUAUGGAAAUAUCUUCUAAAAUAUAAAAGUGCUUUAUUACCCUU
This 432-nucleotide long non-coding RNA is filed under the name Rattus norvegicus (Norway rat). RNAcentral's name for it is "long non-coding RNA NONRATT007706". The record is from RNAcentral. Lineage: Eukaryota; Metazoa; Chordata; Mammalia; Rodentia; Muridae.